UGGGGAAUAUUGCGCAAUGGACGAAAGUCUGACGCAGCGACGCCGCGUGUGGGAGGAAGCCCUUCGGGUCGUAAAGCUCUGUUGUUGGGGACGAAGGGCGAAGGGUUAAUAGCCCCUAGCCUGACGGUACCCUUCGAGGAAGCCCCGGCUAACUACGUGCCAGCAGCCGCGGUAAUACGUAGGGGGCGAGCGUUGUCCGGAAUUAUUGGGCGUAAAGAGCGUGUAGGCGGCCCGGUAAGUCCGCCGUGAAAACCUGGGGCUCAACCCUGGGCGUGCGGUGGAUACUGCUGGGCUAGAGGAUGGUAGAGGCGAGUGGAAUUCCCGGUGUAGCGGUGAAAUGCGCAGAGAUCGGGAGGAACACCAGUAGCGAAGGCGGCUCGCUGGGCCAUUCCUGACGCUGAGACGCGAAAGCGUGGGGAGCGAACAGGAUUAGAUACCCGCGUAGUCC
This 448-nucleotide ribosomal RNA is filed under the name uncultured prokaryote. RNAcentral describes it as "bacterial SSU rRNA". It matches the Rfam family "Bacterial small subunit ribosomal RNA", at positions 355 to 796 of the family's 1533-position model. The record is from RNAcentral.